AGGACACGCUGGCGGCGUGCUUAACACAUGCAAGUCGAACGAUGCACCGGAGCUUGCUCCGGGGAUUAGUGGCGAACGGGUGAGUAACACGUGGGCAACCUGCCCCAGACACCGGGAUAACCUUCCGAAAGGAUGGCUAAUACCGGAUACGACCACUUCGGGCAUCCGACGGUGGUGGAAAGGAUUCUGGUCUGGGAUGGGCCCGCGGCCUAUCAGCUUGUUGGUGGGGUAAUGGCCUACCAAGGCGACGACGGGUAGCCGGCCUGAGAGGGCGACCGGCCACACUGGGACUGAGACACGGCCCAGACUCCUACGGGAGGCAGCAGUGGGGAAUAUUGCGCAAUGGGCGAAAGCCUGACGCAGCGACGCCGCGUGAGGGACGAAGGUCUUCGGAUUGUAAACCUCUUUCAGCAGGGACGAAGCGAAAGUGACUGUACCUGCAGAAGAAGCACCGGCUAACUACGUG
This 466-nucleotide ribosomal RNA is filed under the name uncultured bacterium. RNAcentral's name for it is "bacterial SSU rRNA". It matches the Rfam family "Bacterial small subunit ribosomal RNA", at positions 33 to 507 of the family's 1533-position model. The record is from RNAcentral.